GUCUGUGGCCAUGCUGCCCUGAACAAGCCUGAUGUCUGAUCUUGGAAGCUAAGCAGGGUCGGGCCUGGUUAGUACUUGGAUGGGAGACCACCUCGGAAGACCAGGUGCUAUAGGCA
This 116-nucleotide ribosomal RNA is filed under the name Pteropus alecto (black flying fox). Lineage: Eukaryota; Metazoa; Chordata; Mammalia; Chiroptera; Pteropodidae. The record is from RNAcentral.